GCGGGUGGGAGCAAAGUCCAGUGGUGAAAGCCCGGGGCUUAACUCCGGGAUUGCCAUUGAAACUGGUUUCACUUGAGUGUAGUCGAGGACGGCGGAAUGAGUUGUGUAGCGGUGAAAUGCAUAGAUAUAACUCAGAACACCGAUUGCGAAGGCAGCUGUCUAGGCUACAACUGACGCUGAGGCACGAAAGCGUGGGGAGCGAACAGGAUUAGAUACCCUGGUAGUCCACGCAGUAAACGAUGAUCACUCGUUGCUGGCUACGUAGUAGUCAGUGACUAAGGGAAACCAUUAAGUGAUCCACCUGGGGAGUACGUCGGCAACGAUGAAACUCAAAGGAAUUGACGGGGGCCCGCACAAGCGGAGGAACAUGUGGUUUAAUUCGAUGAUACGCGAGGAACCUUACCUGGGCUUAAAUGCAGGCUGCAUUUCCGCGAAAGCGGAAUUUCCUACGGGACCGCUUGCAAGGUGCUGCAUGGUUGUCGUCAGCUCGUGCCGUGAGGUGUCGGGUUAAGUCCCAUAACGAGCGCAACCCUUAUCGCUAGUUGCCAGCAUGUAAUGGUGGGGACUCUAGCGAGACUGCUGGUGUAAACCGGAGGAAGGUGGGGAUGACGUCAAAUCAGCACGGCCCUUACGUCCAGGGCUACACACGUGUUACAAUGGCCGGUACAAAGAGCAGCCACCUGGCGACAGGGUGCUAAUCUUUAAAGCCGGUCUCAGUUCGGAUCGAAGUCUGCAAUUCGACUUCGUGAAGGUGGAUUCGCUAGUAAUCGCGCAUCAGCCAUGGCGCGGUGAAUAAGUUCCCGGGCAUUGUACACACCGCCCGUCAAGCCAUGG
Molecule: ribosomal RNA, 834 nt
Filed under: uncultured organism
Description: bacterial SSU rRNA
Rfam family: Bacterial small subunit ribosomal RNA
Source: RNAcentral